ACAUCGCGUCGCCACACCUCGACUCUCCUCCGCUCUCCCAUCUGACCCCCCUCCUGCCUACCGCCCCCUCUCUCCUCGUCCGCUGUGCUGCGUCGUCUGCCUUCCACCCCUUCCGUGGCCUCUCCCGUCUUCCUCGGCGCCGCCCUUCGCACUCUCUCGCUCUUGUGUGUUUUCGCCCAUGACGCCGAGUAUACCAGUCAUUGUCUACGUGGUCCUGCAGUUCGUGGCGUUCUUCUUCGUGCUGGUGGGAACGCCGAUUGACAUGUUCCGCAGCAGCAACAGCAGUGUUUUCGUUGGCCAGUGCAUCACUCUAUGGGGUUUUAAACGUGACUGUCUCUCUUUGAACUACGUUCGCACAACCGAUAUGUCUUUUGAAAAGUGCCCAUCACGCAUCACCCGAUUCCGCCUUGCGCAGGGAUGCGCCAUCAUCUCCAUCCUAGUGUACGGCGGAGCGUUCAUGCUGGGCUUUAUUUUGCUGUUCUGCUGCUCUUUGCUCCGGUGGGUCUGCCUGGUACUCAACGUGGUCGGCAUGGUCACCUCGUGCAUUGUGUGGGCGGCCAUGGCAGUGACAUACAACAAGACUGACGACAGAGUGUGCCUGCCGGUAAAAACACUGGGAAGAUAUGGUGCCGGCUUCGUGCUCUUUGUGCUGGCCUGGAUACUGGAUGUCAUCAACAUCAUCCUGUUGCUCCUUCCCUAUGACGGCGUGGACGCUGGAGCGAAUCGAAAGGCAGAGCUGCCGACCGCGCAGGAGUAGAAUGGAGGCACCAAGAGGCAACGGGGGGGG
RNAcentral lists this unclassified non-coding RNA (787 nucleotides) under Leishmania donovani. RNAcentral describes it as "gene:LdHU3.34.2800(CDS-product:amastin-like_surfa ce_protein_putative)". The record is from RNAcentral. Lineage: Eukaryota; Euglenozoa; Kinetoplastea; Trypanosomatida; Trypanosomatidae.